UAAGCAAUAAUAAUAAUACUCUAAUAAUUUUGAUGCUUGAAGCUAUAGCGAAACUCGUCGUGUCAAUAAAACAAUAGGUUUUCUAAUACUUGUACUAGUAAAAUUCAGAAAGAAGCCAACAGAGCAAUUGUCAGUAGAGAUUGAAACACCAAUCAAGCCUCAUGCACAAUUCUAAAGCAAUCAGGCCCUCAAACUUUGUUAUUCAUCUAAGGCCCAUGAUACUAAACUACAGUCAUCUCUCAAGAAUUUGAAUUUCAACAACAUACAAAAUCACAGAUUUUCUAGAGUUCAGGAAUACCUUCAACACAUAUGAUGCUAAAGAGUGCAAAAGAAAAAUUAUGGUCUAGUGUAGUUUUUUAUUUUUCCACUAAGCAACGUGAGUGAGUGAAAGAAGUUGUCCAAUGCCAAAUUUAAGGCACUUUCAAAUUGUACACACUUCUGAGGAUUAUAAUGUUACAAUCAUAGUUGUUAAGUUGUGAAGUCGAGUUGAGUCGGUGGCGGAGAGCUUAGCGACUAGACGAGUAGGCACCCAACUAGUCGCUCAUAAGUCGACAAAUCAUUUGCAAUUUAUA
RNAcentral lists this long non-coding RNA (572 nucleotides) under Panax ginseng (ginseng). Its description in RNAcentral is "long non-coding RNA (PGIN_LNC011393)". The record is from RNAcentral. Lineage: Eukaryota; Viridiplantae; Streptophyta; Magnoliopsida; Apiales; Araliaceae.